UCCACAAUAGCUCAAUGGCAGAGCAAUCGGCUGUUAACCGAUGGGUUCUAGGUUCGAGUCCUAGUUGUGGAG
RNAcentral lists this transfer RNA (72 nucleotides) under Anaerolinea sp. RNAcentral's name for it is "tRNA-Asn". It matches the Rfam family "tRNA". From Rfam's summary of the family: Transfer RNA (tRNA) molecules are approximately 80 nucleotides in length. Lineage: Bacteria; Bacillati; Chloroflexota; Anaerolineae; Anaerolineales; Anaerolineaceae. The record is from RNAcentral.